UCCUGCAAAUAAAACACUUUUCUCCUCAAAAUAAUCAUCAUAUCUAUCUAUUAUGGUAUUUUCAUAAACAUUUUAAGAUACAUUGUCAUGGAACUUCCAUUGUUACAUUACAUUAAUUAUUUUCAUUGCCAUUCUCUUUGCAUGAUCAUAUAUAUAGCUGACAUGAUAGUUGGGGCAAGGACACUGUUCAUUAUUAUUUUACAUGUUAUGCUAUAUCAUUUCACAUCCUGGUAGACUGUCCGAGACAUUCAUUUGUAGUCAUCAUUUUCAUUUAUGAAUCAUAACUAAAUAAAAGUGUGAUGUCAAUUAGAGUGUGGCUCUACCUGUAAGAAAAAAAAAGAGACCAAUGAGCCCAAUAAAAAGAGGCCAAAAGAUCCCACCAAAAAAAGAGAAAGAGAGAGGGGGCACACUACUAUCCUUCAUACACACUUGUGCUUGAGAGUAGCACCAUGUAUUCAUGUAGAGCGUUUUCAUAUUCCUCAUUUUACGUACUAGUGGGAGUUUUACAUUAUAAGAACUUGACUUGCAUAUUCCAUGAUGAGCUUCCUCAAAUGCUCGAGGAUAUGAGCAAGCAAUUUGAAUGUACACCCAUGUUGCAUUUGGAGAGAUCUCAUACACUUAUAGCUCUAGUGACAUUGCAUCCCCUACUCCUCGCAUCAAUAUCGAUUAUAAAACCUCUCCAUUGCGUAAUUAUUAGCUACGCUGGUGUGUGACUUUCUCAAAUUUUACCUUCUUAUAAAAAUCCCCAUCAAUAUUCUAUCUCCAACUCCUGAUACCAACGUUAGAGAUCCCGCUUUUAAGGUUGGUGAAUUCCUCAACGAGUAUGUCAACGAGGGACAUGUAGACGAGGAUCCCGGCCACGCCUUUGUGUAUGCCGCGGUUGGGUAAUCCACCACGAUUGUACUCAAAUGUUGUUCUUUGUAAUUUUUGGCAUGAGUGAAAUUUAACCCAUCNNNNNNNNNNNNNNNNNNNNNNNNNNNNNNNNNNNNNNNNNNNNNNNNNNNNNNNNNNNNNNNNNNNNNNNNNNNNNNNNNNNNNNNNNNNNNNNNNNNNGCAUCGCCUAAGUACUAAUCUUCCUUCGAGUGUGCACUUCACGUCACACUCGAGGGCUUAGCUGCGAUCACGUAUCGCCUAAGUAUUAACUUCCUCCGAGUGUGCACUUUACGUCACACUCGGGGACUUAGUUGUGAUCACGCAUCGCCUAAGUACUAAUCUUCCUUCGAGUGUGCACUUCACGUCACACUCGAGGACUUAGUUGCGAUCCUGCAUCGCCUAAGUACUAAUCGCUCCUCCGAGUGUGCUCUAUACGUUACACUCGGGAACUUAGCACUGAUCAUGAAUCACCUAGGUCCUAAUAUUCUACGAGUACACAUUAAAUGUUCAACUCCAAACAACACUCAAGCAAAAGAAUAAGUGUUUUCGUUGUGACUCCAGCAGUCUAGAAACGAUAACGGACUCGGUGCGGAUCAAGCUUACCCGCACCGAUCCAAAAGUAUGACGGCCAACAGGAGUGGCCAGAAUAUCGUACAGGCAAACACUCGGCAUACCGAGGAUAAAGUUCGAUCAUGAGUCAGUUGGGCCCGCGUCGGAACUGGAGGGUUCCACAAAGGUAUCCAGGUCGAUUCCAUCAGCAAUGCGGGUCGCAGUCUCCAGGAAUGUCUCCAUGAAGUCUUCGAAUUGAAGCUUCUUCGUGUUGGCGACUUUCAAGGCUUUCAGCUUAUCUUCCCGCACUUCUUUGCAAUGGACCCGGACCAAGGAAAGCGCCACAUCAGCACCGCAACGCGCUGCCGAUUUCUUCCAAGAUUGCACUCGGGCCAGAAUCUCCCCCAGUCGCCCCAACAGAGUCUCCAUCUUUUCCCGCGACUCGUCUUCCGGCCAAAGCUCCUUCUCAAUGCGGCCGAAGAUUUCUCUCAGUCGGUUGAUGAACGGACCCACUUUGCCUACGCGGAUAUGAGCCCGGAGUAGAUUCCGGUUGGCGUCCUUGCUGAGUGGCACAUUGUCCUUCAUGGAUCGUUCCACGGCCGCCGCUUCAGCUUCAGCGUCACCACAAAAAUCUGCCACAAACAAGCAAAUAGAAAUUACAAACCGAGUGUUCGUCACAAGAUACAACCACUCGACAAAUCAUCAGACUUACCAGCCAGACGACUCAUCAUCUGGACAGCCCAGUCGUUCACAUACUUCUCCUGAGCUGUCCAUCGUUUAUUCCGAGCAGCCAUUUGAUCGUACACUUCGGUCCUCUAUUUCUUCAGCCUCUCCACCUCCGCCACCAACGCCCUGUUUGCCUCCAACGCUUCCUCCAAGGAUUUCUCUCGAACUUCCAGCGCGUUCUACAGGCCAGCCAUGGCGAGCGUCGCGGUUUCUAGUUCACCAGCAUAUUGGUUCUUCUCAACCUUCAAGGCUUCAUAAGCGCUCCCCAUAUCACAAGUUUUCUACAAAACGAAACAAAGGGUUAUCAGCAACUUUCUCAAUACAAACUAUGUUCUUCAGACCCCUGCCGACGCAAGCAGUCGACAGCGGUCUCGGGGACUACACCCAGUGGGUUCACUAAGAGUGACCCCACUGGCAUGCACCUCAAGCAGGUCUGCCCUAUUGAGGUGCACAUUUUCACCUACGCCUCCGAGGCUAAAGCUGCUCCACCUGUGUGUAGUUUACUCUAGGGAACUCUUACCGCAAGAGUGCUCCGACUGCAGUAAGAACUUGCACUCAGAAAUCUUGUCUACGGACACGACAAAAAUAAAGACCAAAUGUAUAAAGACAAUUGUCGGUGCAAGCACUCGACAGAAGUCUCGGGGACUACACCCACUGGGUUCACUCGGAGUGAACCCAUUGCAAACAACAGACUACGACAACACCCAGUGGGUUACAAAAGAAAAGUAAGUACUUACUAGACUACUUACUCGGAUGUCGUCGCGCAGCUCCAAGCUCCGCUGGUACAAAGCCGCAACGGAGUCAUAAGCCUUCUUGGCCUCCCCGGUCAUCAGCUCCGCUUGGAUCAUGGCUCCCUUGGCCGCUCCCACCUGCUCCUCUAGGACACACCGAAUGCUGAAUUCAACAUUCGACGAACCGGGAAUUGUGGGAAGAUCCUGGGGCAUCCCAAGAUUGGCCCCAGUCAGUUCGUCGCCCACCGGCACUGGUUCGGUCGGUGGAGGCACUUCAGUCGGCGGAGCGUCGGCGGCAGGGGCAGCAGCAGGAAGAGCAGCCUCAAGGACAGGCUCCGCGGCCGCCUCGGCUCUCCCUUGCCCGUCUUCGUCCGGGUGAAUCGCCCCUGACAAGCCGAAUGGCAUGAUGGUUCAGAAAAAGAAAAGGAUAGUACAGUCUACAGGAAUAAAACACCUGACUCUCCUACAACAUACCCGACUGGGACGAGACGACGUUGUCUAUAUCCAUGGGGUCAUCCCCUUGGCGGACCGGAGAGGUUGUAGAAGUGGCGACCCUGUCAAGUGAAGCCCAUUCAACUUGUAAAGCGGGAGUCCACUCGGAUAACAUAAAAAGACGAGAGUUGGAUUCGCUUACGUGGAUGUGACGGGGAUGGCAACCCUCAUGCGCGGCAGAGCCCUCCGAGGUUUGGGCCCACUCGGUUUGGGCGCCCUGGGAGAUUGGCCUGCAGGCUCAGCGGGGGCAUCCCUGGACCUCUUCGUGCCUUGAGCACUCGGGACCGCCGGAGCGGUAGGUAGAGCACUCAACAACGCGGGGGGAGCCGAAGGGACGACAGGCUCAUGUCGACGCUUACUCCGCUGUUCUGGCGGUGGAGGCGGAGAGUCGCGCUCUUCGUCUUCUUCCUCCUCCUCGCUGUCCUCCUCCUCCGACUCCCUGCUGUCGGAGACAUAUUCAGCGCUAUCCACGCUCCCCUCCUGGCUACCUUCUUCCUCCUCCUCCUCCGGAUCCCCGUUCGAGACAGGGAAGGACCAGUUGGUCCAUUCCUACAUGAGAUUCAGUCGGAAACAUUAAGCAUGACACGGGGAUAUAAAUGAACGACUGAAAUCAAAACAGUUCGAUAUAUUCGGCUAACGCUACUCACCUGAUUCGGUGGCGGGUUGUCCGCGCUGUAAGGCACCACUCGGCGAGCUCCUUUAGGGUUCUCGCAAGGUCCCGUGAUUUGGAGCACUAUCGAGGUCACCUUCUCCUCAAGUAUGCCCACCGCGACGGUCCGAGUGGAAUCCUCGGGCCCACUGUAGAUCCACAUAGCAUGGUGGCGAGCUUGAAGAGGCUGGAUCCGCCGACCGAUGAAGACUUCCAACAGGUCAAUACCGGUGACCCCCCUCCUGACAACAUCCGCGAGUGCCUCGACCAAAGGCUGGAUGUCAUCCCUCUCGGCUUUCGAGAGGGCGAGUUGCUUGGGUGGAGCAGGGUGGUCUAGACUAAAUGGAGGCAGCCCAGUCGACGCGUUCGGACAGGCUAUGUCCUGGCAGUAGAACCACGUCGACUGCCAGUUCCUAACCGACUCGUUCAACUGGAGAGCAGGGUAGCUACUCCGACUCUUUUUCUGAAACCCUAAACCCCCGCAGAGCUGGAGGAGAUGCGUCUUGUCAUCCGACUGACUAAGACGUUUGAUGGUUUGAGAGCGGGCGGAGAAGAUAUGUUUGAAUAAGCCCCAAUGAGGGGGGCAACCGAUAAAGCAUUCGCACAGAACAAUGAAGGCAGAAAGGUGGGCAAUGGCAUUCGGAGGGAAGUGAUGGAGUUGAGCACCAAAAUGAUUCAUGAUGCCUUUGAAGAAAGGGUGGGGGGGGCAGAGAGAAACCUCGGUGAACGUGGCUGAGGAGCAAGACGCGUUCCCCCUCCCGUGGCGCCGGCUCAACCUCGUCGUCCGCCGGCAACCUCCAAGAUUUAUGGACGAGCUGGGCGUGCUCUACCAGCUCCAGCAGGUCCCCCUCCGUCAUUGUGGAGGGGAGAAAAUCUCCCUGGAUCCAUCCCGCUGGCAAUGGCCGCUGCCGCCGCUGAGCAGCCGCCGCCUUGCCCUUCUUCUUCCUUGCCUCCAUCUUACUGGUCUGGCCCUUGGUCAUGGCGGCGAUGGCAAGCUUUCGAGAAGGAUGGAAAGAGAAAGGUGUAUGAGCGCAAGAGGUGGCGGGGAAGACGGAGCAAGCAAGAGCAGAGGAUUCGGCGAGCGUAACCGAAGGGUCUCGUUGGCCAGAGUUAAAUAGAACACCGACUGAGUCGCUGGCGAGCGGGCCCGAAAUCUUAUCCGCCCAACCAGCCGCGGUGAUAUCGGCGGAAGAGUUGAAGGCGCGAGGAUCGAGGAGUCAGGCGCUACUCGAGCGCGCUGACGUCGCCCCCGCUAAGCGCGCGGAACCCGAAAUUUGAGAUCCCGGAAAAUCCGCCGCUGUCAGUUGACCGGUCGUGUCAAAAGAUGCUGCGAAAGCACUCGGUUCCCGACAGUCCGUUCCGCAGAACACAUUCACUCGGAUCAUUGGCCAGGAGAGAUAGAAUGGAUAGAGGCAAGCAACGCCCAAGCCGAACCUAGUCCAGUCGGAUCUGAGCAUCGAGCACUGCUUUGACGUUUCAACCCCAAUCCAUUCGGGGACUAAUGAUGGGGUCAUAGUCCUAGGGUAGGGUCAUAGGCCUGUCCUACAGGUCCUACCCAAGGACUACCCCACGCAAGGGACAGGACCUUAAGUAUGCCCGACUGUAUUAAGGUGUCCCCAUCAUCCAGUCGGUAACGGGCCCAAAACCAUCCAGUCGGAGACUAAGACUCGGAGGACACCGGACCUACCGACUGGAUACACUCGGUGCGUCGUAACCUCCCUGGAGGGAAACUGCCGUAAGUUUCCGGGUGCAUUAACUAGCAUUUAUAGCAUACGUUACCUGUAACGCAUGGAUUCAAUCGCCACUACUCCGCCCUUGAAUCAGAACCGUUGUGGAGGGCAGCGCACUCUAUAUAAGCCGCCCUCCCACACUGGUAAAAGGGUUAGAAAAACAUUGUACUCCAUAUUGCACUCGGUAACAAGCUCCAGGAGCACUGAGACAUAGGGCUAUUACCUCCACCGUAGACGGGCCUGAACUCAUAAAACCUUGCCGUAGCUAGGACUCUGCCCAUCUCAUUCGUACCCUACACAUCUACUGUCAGGCUUAUACCCACGACAAUAUCAUCCUUCUACAUUAAUUCCAUAUCACCGUUGGGCAGAAAUGGAAAUAAUGCAUAUAACUCAUAAACAAUGUGAUGAUAGUAUUCUUACUGAACAACUUUGCUAAGNNNNNNNNNNNNNNNNNNNNNNNNNNNNNNNNNNNNNNNNNNNNNNNNNNNNNNNNNNNNNNNNNNNNNNNNNNNNNNNNNNNNNNNNNNNNNNNNNNNNUAAUAGUUUGGAUAGUCCGAAUUAUUAAUUAUGAAAAUAGAAAAAAUUGAAACUAUAUUCGAAAUCAUAGAGAAAAUUCAAGCUAAAUUCUCAUUUGAAUUUAGAUUGAAUUUUCCCUAUAAUUCCUAAUAUAGUUUCAAUUUUCAGUGAGUUUAGGCCCGUAAGCCUGCUUUAGAGAGGAGCUCGAUGGAGAAGCUCCGACGGGGCUUAUAAACAAGUGUUAGUCCCCCUCACUGGGCGAGGUGGGACUAAACUUAUCGUACAGCCGAGGAGGGGCUUUAGUCCCGGGUGGAGCCACGCCCCGGGACUACAGACACCCUUUAGUCCCGGUUGGAGCCACGCCCCGGGACUAAAGACCCCUUUUCGGCAGGCGAGGAGGCGGGAAACGAGGGGCUUUAGUCACGGGCCGUGGCUCCACCCGGGACUAAAGGGGGUCUUUAGUCCCGGUUCGAGCCACGCACCGGGACUAAAGAUCCACCUAUAUAAGCGGGACUUCGAAAAAUUCCAAUCAAAAUCGUCCAUUUCUCUUCUUCUUCCUCUCGUUCUCCUGCCUGGCGCGGCACAGCGACGAACUCGACGACGCCGUCAGGCUGCCCGACGUCCUUCUCGCCGCCGCCUGCCGUCGCCGUCGUCCUCCUCGUCGCCGCCGUCCUCCUCGCCGCGCGCCGUCGACACCUCCGGCCGGUAAGCCCCCCGCCCCCUCCUCCCCAACACUCCGGCUAGUAGAAGAAAAGAAGAAAAAGGAGAAGAAAGGAAGAAAAAAGAGAAGAAAAUAAGAAAAAGGAGAAGAAAAGAAGAAAAAGAAAAAUAUUUUUUUGUCAUUUAAUUCCUAUUGUUAUUAGGUUUGUGCUAGAUUAUUAGGGUUAGUAAUAUUUAGAAUUAGGUUAGGGUUACAAGAAGAAGAAAUAUAAACAAAAAUAAGAAAAUAAGAUUAGGAAAAAUGAAAAUAAGAAGAGGAGGAGAAGAAAAGAAGAAAAAGGAGAAUAAGAAGAAGAGGAGAGGAGAAGAAGAGGAAAAAUAGAAGAAGAGGAGAAGUAGAAGAAGAGAAAAAAUUAGAACAGGAGGAGAGGAGAAGUAGAAGAAGAGAAGAGGAGAAGUACUACAAGAAGAGGAGAAGUAGAAGUAGAAGAAGAAGUAGAAGAAGAGGAGAAAUAGAAGAAGAGGAAAAAUUAAUUUAGGGUUACAAGAAGAAGAAAUAUAUUUUUUUGUCAUUUAAUUUUGCUAUUGUAUAGUGUAUAUGCUUAAGUGUUAAUAGUGUUUCUUAGAUUAUUGUGUAAUUUUGCUAUUGUAUAUGCUUAAGUGUUAAUAGUUUAAUUUUGCUAUUGUAUAUGCUUAAGUGUUAAUAGUUUAUUUUUAGCAAGAAAAUUAAUAGAACUAGUUUAUUUUUUUAGUUCAUUUUAUGAUGCCUAUCCCGCAUCCUGGUCGUCGACUCGGCGGAGGACACCUGCUUGAUCAGAGGGCCCCUGUCCGGGACUGGGCUCCGCCCGGCUGGUAUUGGGAGGUGCUAGCUUCCGGGGGGCGUAGGUUGGUGAGGAGCCAGCCCGUCGUUGACCCGAUCCUUGUUUGGUGGCGGUCGCGUGGGCCAGUGAGGGUGUCGAGGCUUCCGGACACUGGGGAGGUGGUACGUCACCGUGUCAGCGAGGAGGAUGAGCACGUCCGUCGCUACAUGGUUGCGUUGGAGGGCAGGUUCGAGCAUACCUGACAGGUUCUUCGGGGAUCUCACUGGAGCUAUGAUCCUGUGAUGGUUCCUUCUCUUUGGGUGUCCACCGCCCGCGCCGAUACCCGUCGGGCGCUACGGUUCUAGAUGUAUCAGUGAUGCUAUAUGUAUGAUAGUAUUCGAGGAGUAUUAGUGAUAAUAUUCGACGAUGUACGGACAAAAGUGAUGAUGUAUUAGCUUAUAAUUGAAUGCAUGCUAAUUUGAAUACUACUUUAAUUUACGAUUUGGUUUUGCUUAUUGAAUGCUCAAAUUGGAAAAGUACUCCUACUUUGAAUACUAUGUAGAAAUCUAGGAGUCCCGGGUGGAGCCCCGACCCGGGACUUAAGUUGUUUUGGAACGGAGUUCCUGAUAGAAUAAUUCUUUUUUGGUACAAAGGUUAAGAGAAUCCGUUUUUUGCAGAACUAUGGAUCCACAUAUCAGGAACCUCGAAGAGGAAGAAAUUCUCGACGAUAUAAUCAAAGACGGCCCCGACGUUGAACCAGCUGAAUCUCCGUCGUCAUAUCUAAACCAGGACAUUGGAAUGGAGGUCGAGCGACACGAAGAUGAAGCCGAUGGGGCAAGAGAUAGGUCCAAUGACGGAGAAGGUGAUAGCUCCACUGAUGGAGAAGCCGGUGAAGAAAUAAUAAAGUCCGGCGAGGUAUACAUAUGAAGUUCUACAAUCACUUGCAAUAUGUGAAAAAUAUUGGAUAUAGCUCUAUAUUGUAUACAUAUACAUUCAUUUGACGAAUGUUUCUCCCUCUUAGGCCUCCACAUCGAGCAAAACUACGAAACGAGGCCCGACUAGAAAGUUGGAUGCACGGACGCAUUACACCUUUGAGGUGAUAUUUCCUACGGGCGAACCCAAGCUUCCUAAGAAUGCUGCUGACACAUUCAAGAAGCAAUGCGGAGUUCUCGUUAGGGAUCACGUCCCGAUCAGCGUUCGAGAGUGGAACAAGCGCAAAGGGGCAGCCGAUAGUGACUAUGUCGCCGAAAGGUACAAAGAUAAUCUUUGGAAUGAUCUCAUGUCACAUUUCAACCUGCCAGAAUGUGAGAAUGAAGACGCCGCAGACAAACUGAGGGCCAAAGUCAAGCAGUGGACUCUGAAGAAGAUGGCCGAACUGUUCCGUAGCUGGAAGAAGAAGCUAUGGAAAACUAUCUGAAGACAAAGAAAGUGCGAGUAUUCGAGGGAUAUCUAGCCAAGCAGGCGAAUCACUGGAAGGCAUUUCAAGAAUACAAGGAGUCAGAAGAUGCCCAGGCAUUAUCAGAAAAGAACAAGAUAAAUGCCAACAAGAAGAAAUAUCACCACAAGCUGGGGCCAGGGGGCUAUGAGACUGCCAUCCAAAAGUGGGAUAAGAAAGAGCAAGAUCUGCUAGAUAAAGGCAUCGUACCUGAACCACUCCGUGAUGAGUGGGAAUUGAGAGCAAGAAAUUGGUUCCUUGUGCAUGAUGGUUCGUACGACGAAGAAACAAGGGACCUCAUCUGCAGUGACGGUCUUAGGAUACCCAGGGAGAAUUGGAAAAGGAUAGUGAAAUAAAUUAAGGAGGGAAAAAGAAAGUUCACUUCAGAUAGAGAUAAAGAUUUGCUCACACUGGUCCUCGGCAAUGACGAACAUGGAGGAUGAACGCAAGGCUUCGGUCCUUCUUACCCGUGGUGGCUUGGGUUUGCCAGAGACCAAGACACUUGCAGAAGCCGAGAGAGAGCAAAGAAGCGGCAAAGAAUGAGGAGAAUGACAAGUUCAACCAGUUGCGUGCCAGGAUUAACGAGCAACAGAAGCAGAUUGAUGAGCUUAGAGGAGUACUGCGCCAGGAAGAUCCUGCACUUGAUAUUACCGGCGCCCCAUCUAAGCGGAAAAGCAGCGUGGCUGAAUCUGAGGCCCCGCCCGACGAUGCAUGAAGAAUGAUAGAGGGCGGUCCCGACUACCCCGUGGAUGGAGUCAAGGAGUCAACAUCAUGUGAACUCCAUCAGAAAUUCAAGAACAUAUCCAUGAAGGUGGCCGUCGGANNNNNNNNNNNNNNNNNNNNNNNNNNNNNNNNNNNNNNNNNNNNNNNNNNNNNNNNNNNNNNNNNNNNNNNNNNNNNNNNNNNNNNNNNNNNNNNNNNNNGGGAAGCCAGCAAAUCUCCAACCGAGAUACCACAUUCAUCCGCCAACUCCUUUGCUUUUUCAAAAGCUUGCCCCUGCACCGGAGGGGGAACAUUCUCGGUUAACACCUUGAGGGGUGGGAUCGACUGUUUGGCCUGUUGUCCAAGCUGCGGAACGUCUGAUUUUUUCUUGCUUGUAGUUGAACUUGAUUUCCUCCCACUUGCACUUGCACGUGACCUGCUCUUUUUCACUUUCUUCUGCAAUGUGCGUGUAUAGUCAUCAGGCUUAUAGUGCAAGUCAUACUGUGAUGGAGUGGUUAUGAAGUCUUUUGCCCAUGCUAUGUUCUUCUCGGUGUAUUUCGGGCGGGGCUCGGGUUCCUUCCUUUUCAUCUGCGCAUCAUGCUGUUCCUUUGCUAUCCUGGCGUUUUCCUCGGGGGUACGAUCAUAAGGUCUGAUAGGAAGAUUAGCAUGAGGUACCUUUGGGAGGGGCGACAGUUUGCGCAUUGGGAAGCUCCGUUCCUUAGAAAUCAUCGAUGAAGCGUUCUUGCUGGCACGCUUCCGCUUAGUAUCAUGUGCCGGCGGCGGCGGAGGCGGACGACCCAAGUCCGGCGGCGGUGAUCGAGAUGGACUCGUGUUGUGCUGGCCGACGUCAUGUGGAGGGCUUGGAGGUAAUGGAGGUGUAGGUGACCUGCGACGACUCGGAGGCGGUGUUGUCAUUGGGGCCGAGCCUGGAAGCUUGAUGUAGUUCUUGUCCCAUAGGAUGACUCCACCCAGUACUUCUCCGAGUGUCCUCUCAUCUUCGGGUCCAGCUAUGUCGAGCUCCAUAUCAUUAAACCCCGUCAUGAUUUCAUCCACCCCGACUUUAGCAAAGCCAUCUGGACUCACGGCCAUGCCUGUGUGCAUCAGGACUAGAAGGUAAAGCUUGUCCGACAACCACCUUCAUGGAUAUGUUCUUGAAUUUCUGAUGGAGUUCACAUGAUGUUGACUCCUUGAUUCCAUCCACGGGGUAGCCGGGACCACCCUCUAUCAUUCUUCGUUCAUCGUCGGGCUAGGCCUCAGAUUCAGCCACGCUGCUUUUCCGCUUAGAUGGGGCGCCGGUAAUAUCAACUGUAGGAUCUUCCUGGCGCGAUAUUCCUCUAAGCUCAUCAAUCUGCUUCUCUUGCUCGUUAAUCCUGGCAAGCAACUGGUUGAACUUGUCAUUCUCCUCAUCCUGCUGCCGCUUCUUUGCUCUCUCUCGGCUUCUGUAAGUGUCUUGGUCUCUGGCAAACCCAAGCCACCACGGGUAAGAAGGACCGAAGCCUCGCGUUCGUCCUCCAUGUUCGUCAUUGCCGAGGACCAGUGUGAGGAAAUCUUUAUCUCUAUCUGUAGUGAACUUUCUUUGUCCCUCCUUAAUUUCUUUCACUAUCCUUUUCCAAUUCUCCCUGGGUAUCCUAAGAUCGUCAUUGCAGAUGAGGUCCCCUCUUCUUUCGUCGUACGACCCACCAUGCGCAAGGAACCAAUUUCUUGCUCUCAAUUCCCACUCAUCACGGAGUGGUUUAGGUACGACACCUUUAUCUAUCAGAUCUUGCUCUUUCUUAUCCCACUUUGGGAUGGCAGUCUCAUAGCCCCCUGGCCCCAGCUUGUGGUGAUAUUUCUUCUUGUCGGCAUUUAUCUUGUUCUUUUCUGAUAAUGCCUGGGCAUCUUCUGACUCCUUUUACUCUUGAAAUGCCUUCCAGUGAUUCGCCUGCUUGGCUAGAUACCCCUUGAAUACUGGCACUUUCUAUGUCUUCAGAUAGUUUUUCCAUAGCUUCUUCUUCCAGCUACGGAACAGUUCGGCCAUCUUCUUCAGAGUCCACUGCUUGACUUUGGCCCUCAGUUUGUCUGCGGCGUCUUCAUUCUCACAUUCUGGCAGGUUGAAAUGUGACAUGAGAUCAUUCCAAAGAUUAUCUUUGUACCUUUCGGCGACAUAGUCACUAUCGGCUGCCCCUUUGCGCUUGUUCCACUCCCGAACGCUGAUCGGGACGUGAUCCCUAACGAGAACUCCGCAUUGCUUCUUGAAUGUGUCAGCAUCAUUCUUAGGAAGCUUGGGUUCGCCCGUAGGAAAUAUCACCUCAAAUGUGUAAUGCGUCCGUGCAUCCAACUUUCUAGUCGGGCCUCGUUUAGUAGUUUUGCUCGAUGUGGAGGCCUAAGAGGGAGAAACAUUCGUCAAAUGAAUGUAUAUGUAUACAAUAUAGAGCUAUCUCCAAUAUUUUUCACAUAUUACAAGUGAUUGUCGAACUUCAUAUGUAUACCUCGCCGGACUUCUCCUCUUCACCGGCUUCUCCAUCAGUGGAGCUAUCACCUUCUCCGUCAUUGGACCUAUCUGCUGCCCCAUCGGCUUCAUCUUCGUGACGCUCGACCUCCAUUCCAACGUCCUCGUUUAGAUAUGACAACGGAGAUUCAGCUGGUUCAACGUCGGGGCCGUCUUUGAUUAUAUCUUCCAGAAGUUCUUCCUCUUCGAGGUUCCUGAUAUGUGGAUCCAUAGUUCUGCAAAAAACGGAUUCUCUUAACCUUUGUACCAAAAACCAAAGUAGGAGUACUUUUCCAAUUUGAGACUCCUAGAUUUCUGCAUAGUAUUCAAAGUAGGAGUACUUUUCCAAUUUGAGCAUUCAAUAAGCAAAACCAAAUCAUAAAAUAAAUUAGUAUUCAAAUUAGCAUGCAUUCAAUUAUAAGCUAAUACAUCAUCACUUUUGUCCGUACAUCAUCGAAUAUUAUCACUAAUACUCCUUGAAUACUAUCAUACAUAUAUCAUCACUAAUACAUCUAGAACCGUAGCGCCCGACGGGUAUCGGCGCGGGCGGUGGACACCCAAAGAGAAGGAACCAUCACAGGAUCAUAGCUCCAGUGAGAUCCCCGAAGAACCUGUCAGGUAUGCUCGAACCUGCCCUCCAACGCAACCAUGUAGCGACGGACGUGCUCAUCCUCCUCGCUGACACGGUGACGUACCACCUCCGCGGAGUCCGGAAGCCUCGACACCCUCACUAGCCAACGCGACCGCCACCAAACAAGGAUCGGGUCAACGACGGGCUGGCUCCUCACCAACCUACGCCCCUCGGAAGAUAGCACCUCCCAGUACCAGCCGGGCGGAGCCCAGUGCCAGACAGGGCCCCUCUGAUCAAGCAGGUGUCCUCCGCCGAGUCGACGACGAGGAUGCGGGAUAGGCAUCGUAAAAUAAACUAAAAAAAAAACUAGUUCUAUUAAUUUUCUUGCUAAAAUAAACUAUUAACACUUAAGCAUAUACAAUAGAAAAAUUAAACUAUUAACACUUAAGCAUAUACAAUAGCAAAAUUAAGCAAUAAUCUAAGAAACACUAUUAACACUUAAGCAUAUACACUAUACAAUAGCAAAAUUCUUCCUUUUCUUAUUUUCAUUUUUCUUCUCCUCCUCUUCUUUUCUUGAUCUCUUCUCCUCCUCUUCUUUUCUUCUUUUCUUAUACACUAUACACAAUAUACACUAUAGCAAAGUUCCUCCUCUCCUUAUACACUAUACACUAUAUACACUAUACACUUAAGCAUAUACACUAUACAAUAUACACUUUUUCUUCUUUUCUUCCCCUCCUCUUCUUAUUUUCAUUUUUCCUAUUCUUAUUUUCUUAUUUUUGUUCAUAUUUCUUCUUCUUGUAACCCUAACCUAAUUCUAAAUAUUACUAACCCUAAUAAUCUAGCACAAACCUAAUAACAAUAGGAAUUAAAUGACAAAAAAAACCUUUUUCUUUUUCUUCUUUUCUUCUCCUUUUCUUCUCCUUUUUCUUCCUUUCUUCUAUAUAUACUGGCCGGAGUGUUGGGGAGGAGGGGGCGGGGGGCUUACCGGCCGGAGGUGUCGACGGCGCGCGGCGAGGAGGACGGCGCGGAGGACGGCGCGACGGCGAGGGGGACGGCGCGACGACGAGGAGGACGGCGCGGCGGCGAGGAGGACGGCCGACGGCGAGGAGGACGGCAGGCGGCGGCGAGCAGGACGACGGGCAGCCUGAUAGCGUCGGUUAGUUCGUCGCUGUGCCGCGUCGGGUAGGAGAACGAGAGGAAGAAGAAGAGAAAUGGACGAAUUGGGUUGGAAAUUUUUGAAGUCCCGCUUAUAUAGGUGGAUCUAUAGUCCUGGUGCGUGACUCGAACCGGGACUAAAGACCCCCUUUAGUCCCGGGUGGAGCCACGACCCGGGACUAAAGGCCUCUUUUCGGGCAGACCAGGAGGCGGGAAGCAGGGGGUCUUUAGUCCCGGGGCGUGGCUCCAGCCGGGACUAAAGGGGGUCUUUAGUCCCGGGGCGUGGCUCCACCCGGGACUAAAGCCCCUCCUCGGCUGCACGAUAAGUUUAGUCCCACCUCGCCAAGCGAGGGGGAAAACACUUGUUUACAAGCCCCGUCGCAGCUUGUCCAUCGAGCUCCUCUCUAAAGCAGGCUUACGGGCCUAAACUUACUGAAAAUUGAAACUAUAUUCGAAAUUGUGGAGAAAAUUCAAUCUGAAUUGAAAGUGAAUUCAGGUCGAAUUUUGUCCAUGAUUUCUCAUAUAGUUUCAAUUUUUCUAUUUUCGAAAUUAAUUAUUUUGACUAUCCAAACUAUUAACUUAUUUUGUUAUUUUCAANNNNNNNNNNNNNNNNNNNNNNNNNNNNNNNNNNNNNNNNNNNNNNNNNNNNNNNNNNNNNNNNNNNNNNNNNNNNNNNNNNNNNNNNNNNNNNNNNNNNGAACUCCAUACUUUUUGCGUGUUCAAAAUGCACCAUUCAAAGGCACAUCACAAAAUGGACAAUCUCUCUCGAAGUAGAAGCGACCCCCACAAUAAGAGACAACAUUCUUCUUCUCUCAUAUAGGGUGGACACUAGCUCACCUGAUUUUUCAAUCGUCGAUGAUGGUCGCUACUCCUACUUCCCCUAGUGCAUAACCAAUAUCUAGCACAAGGAGAAGAAGGAGAAGCGACCCCCACAACAAAAGUGGUUCCGCGGCACGCCACGUGGUUCCGCUGCACGCCACGUGGUUUCGCUGCACGCCACAUGGGACUAAUGGUCUUUAAUUUUUAAAUGACUGUUUUAAUCAAAAACAGAUCUGUUACAAAAGGGAUUUCAUUUUUUGAACUUAUUUGAACUGAAGACUUUUUGUAUAUAUAUGUGGUCGAAAUGCAUGAUACCAUGGAGUUAGAAAGGGCUAAACCAUUCAAAAGUAGCAAAUGAAGUUAGAAAGGGCUAAACCAUUCAAAUUUGGAAACUAUAAUGGCACAAACAGAAACUAGACAUAUAUAAAUUGGUCCAAGCAGUACAUGAUACUAGUCCAAACAGUACAUAAUAAUAGCUACCAUAGAUAUAUAUACAAGUGUUCGACGUUGAGAACACUACUCGUCUGAAUCGUCUGAAUCAGAAUGUCCACCUUCCUCGAGGUGACGCUGGCCAUAGUUGACGACUCGAAUCUUGCGGUGCAACUCGUAUGAAACGUAUGCAUCUUUUGCUGCAUACUCAAUGUUGAUAGGAUCAAGUGGGCCCUUCUCCCAAAGUUUGGGCUAAAACUUUGGGAAACUGGUCUUCAUAUCACCAUAUCCCUCGUCGAUCAAGGCAACUGCCAUAUGAGCCAUCGAAGUCCUGUCAUGUCGAAGCCUGAAUACCGUUUGGAGAUUAAUGAGGCAACCAGCUGGUAUCUCAAUACCGAAGCUGUGCCUCAUCUUCAGCUUGUCGUUCCUUAUGUCAACGGAAGCAAAAGUGAUGCCGCUGCGAAGGAAGUCCAUGAGUUCUGGACAAUCCUUGUCACUCGUGCAACAGAAACAAAUUAAAAUGGAACAACUGUUACAUACUGCUGCAAUAAGGAAACAUGUUUCACUACAACUAAAGAGAAAAUUAUCUUUAGGAUUCAAAUAGAACAUAUGCAAUGGAACCUAGAGAGAUCACUAUAGCUAUCCAAUGGAACCUAGAGAGAUCACUAGCUAUAUGCAAUUUUCAUGACUAUGACAUAUCAUAUUGCUAUCCAAUGGAACCUAGAGAGAUCACUAGCUAUAUUUAAUUUUCAUAACCUUGGAUCAAAGAACACCGCAUAAAAUUGUAUCACUACAACUAUGAUUUCAAUGGAACAUAUUGAACCAAUCAGAUUUUUCAGAUUAUGGAACACUAUUCCAAUCAGAUUGUGUUCCCUUCAACUAAUCAAAAUUGUUUCACUACAACUAUUUGAAGCGAACCAACUAUGAUUCCAAUGGAACAUAUUAAACACUAGUUGAUUCUAAUAUGAUUUUUCAGAUUAUGGAACACUAUUCCAAUCAGAUUGUGUUCCCCUUCAACUAAUCAAAAUUGUUUCACUACAACUAUUUGAAGGGAACCAACUAUGAUUCCAAUGGAACAUAUUAAACACUAGUUGAUUCUAAUACGAUUUUUCAGAUUAUGGAAAACUAUUCCAAUUAGAUUGUGCUCCCCUUCAAGUAAUCAAAAUUGUUUCACUACAACUAUUUGAAGGUAACCAACUAUGAUUCCAAUGGAACAUAUUAAACAUUAGUUGAUUCUAAUACGAUUUUUCAGAUUAUGGAACACUAUUCCAAUUAGAUUGUGCUCCCCUUCAACUAAUCAAAAUUGUUUCACUACAACUAUUUGAAGGGAACCAACUAUGAUUGAAACAAAUAAACUUACAAUGUCAUUAUCUUGGAUCAAAGAAAGCCUCAAAACUUACCUCGCCCAUUGGAAGAUCAAGACAUGGCUUGCGAAGCAUAUUUGGAUGACGACAACACCGCGUUGAUCGGCCGUGUACUCCAGAUCAAGCCCGAAGAACUUCUCAUGAUCCGCUGCAUGGUCAAACCAUCAUUCCUUCAACUGUUGAAGAAAAAAUGGCACCUCCCUGCUCAGGUUCGUGUACACGACACGGAGCUUCGUCGUGCCAUGCGCGACCACCUCAUGAAAGCUAGUUGGCAUGGUAGAAGAAGAGAAGGGAAGAAGAGAGGAGAAGAACAGAGAGGGCGACGCGAGAGAGAAGAAGAACAGAGAAAUGGCUACUGUACGCUUCGGUUCAUGCUUUUCAUCGCCCGGAACGACGCGGGAUGCAAACCGUUUGGGCCUUUAAUCCUGGGUUGAGCCACCAACCGGGACUAAAGAGGUAUACCAAACGGUUGCCACCACUACGGCAGGCCACGUGUUAGGCUUUUAGUCCCGGGUUGAGCCACCAACCGGGACUAAAGAGGUAUACCAACCGUCGCCACAACCACGGCAGGCCACGUGUUAGGCCUUUAGUCCCGGGUUGAGCCACCAACCGGGACUAAAGGGGGAUACGAACGGUUGCCACCACCACUGCCCGCCGCGUAGCCCUUUAGUCCCGGUUUGGGGCACGAACCGGGACUAAAGGCUCCUUACGGGCCGGGACUAAAGCCUCGAGGGAGGCAUUGAGAAUUGGGGCGACGUGGCCGGGCCUUUAGUCCCGGCCCAGAGGCAGGCCGGGACUAAAUGGUCCAGGCCAAAGGCCCGUUUUCUACUAGUGCUUUAUUACCGUUUGUCGGAUGUUCGAAUGACAGACCCCGAUACUAUUUCUUUUAAAUUAAAUUUCUCUAGUUUAUGUUGUUCAUUAUAAUGUAUAAAAAGCAUAUGACUCAACAGAUGAUAGAAAAGGUGAUGUGAUCAAUUGGCUAGCAACUAAUAUGCGUGGGCUCGAACCGAGUCACUGUUUGGAACCCCACGGCAUCCCUUUGAUUUUUAUUUUACAGUUUUUGUUGUUUCUUUCUGAUGGCCAUUGUGUAAGAAAGAAAUAACUCCAAUCGGGGUUAGUAGUGGAUUAAUGUGCUGCUCGGCUUGUGCUCGUUAAGGCUCGGCUCAUUAAGCUCGUUAAGCUUAACAAGCUAAUGUGGUUUUGUUCAUUUAAUGCCCAUUAAGCUCGUAAUAUGAUCACUAACAUAGUAUGAUAUGUUAUGGUCUGCAACAUGAGAGUGUGGGUGUAUUUUUUUAAAGGAAGAUUGUGACUACAUGAGGAGGUACAUUGGUUUGUUGCAUCCUAUGGGUUAGGAACUUAGGAUUGGUUGAGGUACCAGAAAAAUAUUGUCACAUAAGAUAAGAAUAUCCGUUGUGUUGUACUAACAAUAAGAUAAGAAUGUAUGUUGUGUUNNGUUCCUCCCCCCAACACACACACACCCCGCGCGGUGACCCCGUCCCUCCCCUCCACCCCUGAGCGCAGCGACGGCGGCCCUCCCCCCCCCCCGAGCGCGGCAGCGGCGGCGGCUCUCCCCUCCNNNNNNNNNNNNNNNNNNNNNNNNNNNNNNNNNNNNNNNNNNNNNNNNNNNNNNNNNNNNNNNNNNNNNNNNNNNNNNNNNNNNNNNNNNNNNNNNNNNNUCCUUCCUCUAAUAAGCUCCGUGCCACCGACGUUCGGGGCAGCAAGUGCGACGCGAGGCCCAUGUCCUCUCUCUCUCUCUUUCUUCUCCCCUUCUGCUAUUUUCCCUCUCUAUGAAUUCUCUCUUCUCUUGUUCUAUUUCAGACAUAUGCAAUGCCAUGGACGAGCCCCUGCAGCCCCCAUUCGCCGGAGCUCCCCAUCACCCCGCUCCCGAUCCGGCGAUCUGCAGCCGGAUCCCGAGUCCCCCAGCCGGAUCCGGCCAGUCCUAGCAGGCCCUUCCAUUCCCGGCCUCCGAGCUCGCCGUCUUCGCUGGAGCAUCGUGCCGUCGGCCCUAGUUCCCCAUUGUGAGUAGCCCUCCCGAUGUGUUACUGGAUGGUGAUCCGUUCUGCUGUUUGGGUUAAUUAGUGUAGCCGCUUGUUUACACCACGAGCAGGGCCUCAGCCGAGCUGGUUAGUGUAUUCAGCGUCUACCGAAAGGGUCCUGGAUUCGAUUCCAGAGCGCCCCAGUAUUUUGGUUGGUUUUUUUUCUGUUUUAUCUGGUAUAUAUAGCCUUGCGUGCAUACCUCUUUUAGAGCCGAAUCCCGUUGAUCAUCACGUGCUCAUUGUAGUCUAGCUGGUCUAUGUGUUUGACUGCAACUAGGAGGUAUUGGGUUCGAUUCCCACGUAUGGCAAUUUUUUGUCAUCUUUUCCCUUUUGUCAGGCACACACACUCAGCUCCUUGGACCAAUUUCAAUCCUGGGCCACUGCUGCUUGCAGUAAUUCGGCCUUGUUGUUUUUUCUUCUUUUUUUUACUGCUUACCUCAGGACAAUUUACUAGUUGUGUAGAAAGAUGCAUGUCUUUAAAAUGUCAAUAUUUUUUUUCAAACCGUGCAUCGAAUCGAAAUAAGUUAGAUAUGUAACUUGGCUGGAAUUUCAUGUAGAAUAAUAUUUUUCUAACUUUCAUGCAUAAUUAGAACUGUUUAGUGUGUUGUUGCAUCGGUUUGCGUGUCGACGUGUUGGAAACGGUUUAGGUCGUAACUAUUUGUCCGUAGCUCCGUUGGAGAUGAGCCAUAUAUGUAAAUGGUCCAGAACGACGAGUAGAAUCACGUGAACCAAUUUGUUUUGCUGUUUAACAAACUUAAAAAUGUGAUUAGGAUAAAUCUGGACAGAGUUAGAUUUUAACACGUGGGGUCAUUUCGGAGAUGCUAUAUGUCGUUUCCGGCCUCAUUUAAAAUGCCUAGGUAGUUUAAUUGUGCUUCACCUCUUGCCAUGUUUAACCACAUUUAAUAUGGCCGUGUAUUUAAUCGGGAUAGAACUAAAUAAACAAACGUGGAGGUUCGUCAAUAUGCAACUCGUUGCAUGUUGAACUUCACUUAAUGUGUAGUGUUUGAUUGUCUGAAUUGUCAUGCCGUGACUUGCAUGUAUCCAGCUGCUCAUGCAUCAUUUGUGUUGUGCAUCGUGUGGUGAAUUCCGUGUGUUGAUUUGUGUUUCCGGUUUGCUUCGUCUCGAUAGAGUUCCGCAGCGUGCCGGAUUGUGAGGACCCGUUCGACUACGUCGGUUCGUCUGCUUCACGGAGUCAUUCUUCUUCCAAGCGGGAUCUCAGGCAAGAUGAUCAUUGUUGUCAACCAUUAUACGUGGUGAUACGUGGAAGUGAAGUUUGAGAAGCUUAUUACCCUUGGGUACUUGGUACCCUAGAAAUUGUUCUAUGUGGAUGCUUUGGCGUCCUAGAAGCUUGGUGGUGCCUUGGAGCUCAAUCAUUGUGCUGUAAAGUUUCGGGUAAGCGUCGGGGUCUCCAAUUAAGUUGUGGAGAUUGCCCCGAGCAUUUGAGAUCACCUCGAAGCCAUAUGCCAUUGUGGUGAAGCUUCAUGGUGUCGUUGGGAGCUUCCAAUUAAGUUGUGGAGAUUGACCCAACCUUGUUUGUAUGGGUUCGGUGACCGCCCUCAAGGGUCCCUUAGUGGAAUCACGACAUCUUGCAGUGUGCGAGGACGUGAUGAGAUUAUGGUGGCCUUAGUGGCAUCUUGGGGAGCAUUGUGCCUCCACACCGCUCCAAACGGAGAUUAGCAUAUGCAAGAAUGUGAACUUCGGGAUACAUCAUCGUCCCCGCGCGCCUUGGUUAUCUCUUACCCGAGCUCUUUAUUUUUGUCGUUUACUUUGUGAUAGCCAUAUUGUUUAUUGUUAUAUAUCUUGCUNNNNNNNNNNNNNNNNNNNNNNNNNNNNNNNNNNNNNNNNNNNNNNNNNNNNNNNNNNNNNNNNNNNNNNNNNNNNNNNNNNNNNNNNNNNNNNNNNNNNAGAUUUGCUGGCUUCCCAAGACGACAGGAUACCCAAGGCUGUGGUAGCCCCUAAGCCACAGUUUGUCAUGGGAGAGCCUUUGGUCAGCAAAGAUGAUCUCCCAACAAAUAUGCGUUACUUGCAUAAAUGAUACUUAAGAGAAUCAAAGAAUGGGAGAACGAUGAUCAUGCUGAGUGUCCCACGGGAGUACUACGGCUGCUCCGAAGAAAUCCAUAUCGACUUUGAUGAACUCUUCCAUAUGUACAAUGGCGACGCCCUCGACAAAUCGCUUAUGAGUUGCUAUUGUCUGUAAGUUUUUCAAUUCGUUGUCUACAUAUAACUUGUUUAGUUAUUUCAAUUCAUUGUCUAUAUAUAACUUGUACUCUAUUAUGCAGAAUGAAGAUUCUGGAUUGUAAAAGUAAGAGCAUCCUAAAUAUUGGGUUUAUUGACCCAGAUAAAAUACAUAUAGCGACGCUAACUGAUAAACCCAAGGAGACGGAGGAAAACCUUCUAAGGUUUCUAAUAGAUCAAAAUUUAUGUGACCACAUACUGUUUCCAUACAACUUCAGGUGAGGGUCUUUACUCUGUUGUAUCCAUUCACUUAUAAGUGUAAUUGAUAAGUUACUGACACACACACACACACACAUAUAUAUAUAUAUAUACAUGUGCAGCUUCCAUUGGAUUCUGUUGGACAUUCAAAUUGAUAAGGGAAGAGUUGAUACCUUCGACCCAUUAUCGAGACCCUUGGAACAGUUCCAAAGCCUGCAGGACAUGCUCCAAGGAUAAUUUUAAUCAUUCUUGUGCUCUAUCGGUCUCUUUCGAUGAUUUUCUGAUAUAUCAAUUAAUGAAAAACUUAGCAAAUCAUUAUCCUUGUCGGGCAGGGUUUGGAAGCGGUUCAAGUGCGUGACUCCCGGUAACUUUCCUGAGAAGCUGACCUUUAGAGCGGCUCAGGUAAGUAGUAGUAUGAUAUACUUCUAUUAAUUUUCAAUACAUUUAUGAUGCUAGAUUAUUAUUUUGAUUAUAUAUAUUCUAUUCUCGUAAAGUGCGACCAACAGCCACGGGGAACGCAUCUAUGCGGAUACUAUGUUUGCGAGACCAUUCGCACGUUUACCUCUGAGUUCAAGGAUCACAGAUUCGACGUAAGCAAUGAACAUUCACACCUCUAUAUUUACCCGUCAUUCUUUGCUAUCAUGAUUGAUAUUCAUAUUCAUCUCCUCUUCUUAUAUAGCACACGACCAUGAGGACGAAGGUCCUACCAGAGCAACGCGCGAUUGCUGUUGCAGAGGAGCUUGCGGGAUUUCUGAGGACGGAAGCUAUAAAAGACAAAGGACGAUUUAGUGUAGCUAAGGGCCAUUACUGAUGUUUGUCCAUGUAAUCGAAUAGAUGGGCUCUAGUCCCGAUAAUUCAGAUCUCCAUAUAAUUGUAUAUAUAUGAUCGCUUGUAAGAUAAGUUAAUCUUAUAUAUAUGCAUAAUUAUUUCUAUUUUAAAUUACAUAAAACUAAUUCCCAAAUACCAAACAAGGCAUCACGUUAAUCUCCUGAACACCUAAACCCUAAAACCCUAAAACCCAAAAAUAAUUUCAUUCAAAAAAAACCCAAAACCCAGCAAAAUCUGAAAAUCUUUAGUCCCGGUCCGUGUAACGAACCGGGACUAAAGGGCUUGCCCCUGGGGCGCUACGAGGCGCCCACGUGGAGCACCUUUAGUCCCGGCUUGUAAGAUGGCCGGGACGAAAGGUUAGGCCUUUAGUCCCGCCCCUUUAGUCCCGGUUGGUGAACCGGGACUAAAGCCCCUUACGGGCCGGGGCUAAAGGCCCCGUCCCCACUAGUGUUAAUGAACAACUUAACGAGUUUCAUGAGUAACACGUUAAGCUUGUUAGUGAAACACAACAUACAUUCUNNNNNNNNNNNNNNNNNNNNNNNNNNNNNNNNNNNNNNNNNNNNNNNNNNNNNNNNNNNNNNNNNNNNNNNNNNNNNNNNNNNNNNNNNNNNNNNNNNNNUGACAUUGUAUUAUGUCAACAAUCCGUGUAUGGCGGGAAAAGUCUGGGAAGAAUGCCUGGGUAACCGGGUAAAGCUGACAUUGUAUUAUGUCAACAAUCCGUGUAUGGCGGGAGAAAUUUUGGCAAAGGCCUUGUCCUGUAUGACAGGAGAAAGUUAUGAUGACUCAUGUGCGGUUAAUGUUCCCACUAUGGAAUAAAAGUAUGGAGUAGCUAUGAAGCUUUCCUAGUAUCGACCGUACACCUUAUGUGUAACGGUCAUUAUGCAAUCACUAAAUCCAGAAAGGAUAAAAGUAACAAACGAACCUAAAGACAAGAAUGAUAUGCAAGGGUGACUUGCAAAAGAGACAAUGAUAAAGAACUCUGUUGAGUUUCGGAAAUGAAAUGAGGAAAAAGUAUUCCCAUACCAGUUAACUUAUAACUUCAUUUUACAUGAAGUGACAAGAUGAAUGAGCUAGAUAAUCGAAGUUUCCUCAUUUCACAAGAGCUAUGAAUGGGUUUCGAAAUUGUGGCAGAAAAGUUCUUGCCACAUUUCGAGGGGGAGAAAGAGACAUGAAAUACAUUGUAAUGUAUUUCAUGACUCCUCUGUACUUUAGAUGAUGUGAUGCACAUUAUGCAUCCAAAGUGAUCCAUUAAUGAAGAAUGUGAUUGUCAAGGGGAGUACGACAGUCAACUGAAUACCGUCAUUAUGAUACCCCUAAAGAAAAGAAACAGUUGUAUUUUUGGAUCUUUUAUAGUUCCGAAAGCAGACUAAGGAAUACAACAGUGGUGCUUAAAGUGCCAUAAGGAAGAAGGUUUAAAGAUACGCCAUUUCUUUAGUGAAGAUGGAGUAAUCUGGGGGAGCAUGUUGUAUGACCUAUACAACACCUGUUGUUAGCUCUACAAGGGAUCUUGUGAUACAGGUCCCUGUAAAACCUAUUGCCUUUUGGAAAUGGGUGACUAUAGAAUUAAUUUGCCUCUUGGCAAUGACAGAGCAACGACAACCCCAUAUGAUAGAAGUGCCAGUACCUGAGAUUUUGAUGGUCUCUAGGAAUGUGAAAAUCAGAUACUUGUGACUACUAUAAAGUCUAUGUUAGUNNNNNNNNNNNNNNNNNNNNNNNNNNNNNNNNNNNNNNNNNNNNNNNNNNNNNNNNNNNNNNNNNNNNNNNNNNNNNNNNNNNNNNNNNNNNNNNNNNNNNNNNNNNNNNNNNNNNNNNNNNNNNNNNNNNNNNNNNNNNNNNNNNNNNNNNNNNNNNNNNNNNNNNNNNNNNNNNNNNNNNNNNNNNNNACUAACAUAGACUUUAUGAAGGGUCUACAAGGCAAAUGUGACUCCAAAGGAAAUAUGUAAAUGUGUGAAACAUGACUUAAAUCGAAAGAUUUUGUGCAAAGAAAAUGAGAGGACAAUUGCAUUCAUGCAAAGUUAUAGAAUGGGAAAUUCGUUUCCCAAUUCCUGUGCAUGUGGGAUGACGUCCUACUUGCUAGUGGUGAUGUCAAUUCUAGUGCAGGAGGAGAGAAGAAGUUCCUGUCCUCAGAGUUCAAAAUAAUAAAAGGGGGUAUUAGGAAUGUCGCAUGAAAAUGCUAAGAAAGAUUUCUAAAGUAUGCAUACGUGAAAACCUAUGCCUGUUCUUAUAGUCAAGGGUAAUGGAACUCGAAACUAUGGUGUUUUCAAAAGUUAAUAAGAAAAGAUUGUAAACCAAUAUGGUACCAUAUGCUUCAGUUGUUGGAAGCUCAAGAUAUUACCCUGACACAGUUCACGUAUANNNNNNNNNNNNNNNNNNNNNNNNNNNNNNNNNNNNNNNNNNNNNNNNNNNNNNNNNNNNNNNNNNNNNNNNNNNNNNNNNNNNNNNNNNNNNNNNNNNNUUUUGUGUGUUCAAAAUUCACCAUUAAAAGGCACAUCACAAAGGGAUUUCUUCUUCUCUCAUAUAUGGUGGACACUAGCUCACCUGAUUUUUCAACCGUCGAUGAUGGUCGCUACUCCUACUUCCCCUAGUGCAUAACCAAUAUCUAGCACAAGGAGAAGAAGGAGAAGCGACCCCCACAACAAAAGUGGUUCCGCGGCACGCCACGUGGUUCCGCUGCACGCCACGUGGGACUAAUGGUCUUUCAUUUUUAAAUGAUUGUUUUAAUCAAAAACAGAUCUGUUACAAAAGGGAUUUCAUUUUUUGAACUUAUUUGAACCGAAGACUUUUUGUAUAUAUAUGUGGUCGAAAUGCAUGAUACCAUGAAGUUAGAAAGGGAUAAACCAUUCAAAAGUAGCAAAUGAAGUUAGAAAGAGCUAAACCAUUCAAAUUUGGAAACUAUAAUGGCACAAACAGAAACUAGACAUAUAUAAAUUGGUCCAAGAAGUACAUGAUACUAGCCCAAACAAAACAUAAUAAUAGCUACCAUAGAUAUAUAUACAAGUGUUCGACGUUCAGAACACUACUCGUCUGAAUCAUCUAAAUCAGAAUGUCCACGUUCCUCGAGGUGACGCUGGCCAUAGUUGACGACUCGAAUCUUGCGGUACAACUCGUAUGAAACGUAUGCAUCUUUUGCUGCAUACUCAAUGUUGAUAUCAUCAAGUGGGCCCUUCUCCCAAAGUUUGCGCUGAUACAUAAUACUAUAUGACUCGUCGAUCAAGGCAACUGCCAUAUGAGCCAUCAAAGUCCUGUCAUGUCGAAGCCUGAAUAUCGUUUGGAGAUCAGCGAGGCAACCAACUGGUAUCUCAAUACCGAAGUUGUGCCUCAUCUUUAGCUUGUCGUUCCUUAUUUCAACGGAAGCAGAAGUGACGCCGUUGCGAAGGAACUCCAUGAGUCCUGGACAAUGCUUGUCACUCCUGCAACAGAAACAAAUUAAAAUGGAAAAAAUGUUACAUACUGCUGCAAUAAGGAAACAUGUUUCACAACAACUAAAGAGAAACUUAUCUUUAGGAUUCAAAUAGAACAUAUGCAAUGGAACCUAGAGAGAUCACUAUAGCUAUCCAAUGGAACCUAGAGAGAUCACUAGCUAUAUGCAAUUUUCAUGACUAUGACAUAUCAUAUUGCUAUCCAAUGGAACCUAGAGAGAUCACUAGCUAUAUUUAAUUUUCAUAACCUUGGAUCAAAGAACACCGCAUAAAAUUGUAUCACUACAACUAUGAUUUCAAUGGAACAUAUUGAACCAAUCAGAUUUUUCAGAUUAUGGAACACUAUUCCAAUCAGAUUGUGUUCCCUUCAACUAAUCAAAAUUGUUUCACUACAACUAUUUGAAGCGAACCAACUAUGAUUCCAAUGGAACAUAUUAAACACUAGUUCAUUCUAAUAAGAUUUUUCAGAUUAUGGAACACUAUUCCAAUCAGAUUGUGUUUCCUUCAACUAAUCAAAAUUAUUUCACUACAACUAUUUNNNNNNNNNNNNNNNNNNNNNNNNNNNNNNNNNNNNNNNNNNNNNNNNNNNNNNNNNNNNNNNNNNNNNNNNNNNNNNNNNNNNNNNNNNNNNNNNNNNNACUCAAGACGAGUCAAGCCUCUGGUGUUUCUGUACCAUCCCAAGAUCAUGCUGGUACACACACAGUACAUAAUGUAUAUAUUCAAGAGUGCAAUCACACAGCUUUAUUAAUCAAAAUCUCAUAAAGAGUACUUUAUUACAAUAAAGGAGUACAAUAAAGUGGCUGAAGGCCAACUCAUGAGAUUAUCUAACGAAGACUAAGCGGAAGCAUCAGGUAGACGAGUCCAUUCGAUUCCAAGGGCAUGUCGCUGAGCGUAGAAUCAUAGCCUCACUCCUGGUCGGAAAAAUACUCUGCAACAUGAUACGUUGCAGCCGUGUAGGUCAGCAUAUUGAAUAUGCCGGCAAAACAUCAAAGAGAGGGGGGUAAAAUAAUAAUCAUCUAUCUCUACAUGCAUAUUUGGCCGGUGGAGCUAGUUUUGCAUAAAGCCAGUUUUAUCCUACAACAAAAGGGGUUGAAAGCAAAAUUUACUACAAUGUUUGUUGUUAACGAGAUGGUUCCGCCAACCAGUUCUCGUACCCGAAUAGUUGUUAACACCCACAUCAUUAUUAAGUUGUGUCGAGAGUUCAGGGGAAAUUCAAUGCCUUCGGCUCAAGUUGUCCAUGACCGUGGACACGGCUAAUCGAUUAGGUUGAGUACUCUGCAGAGUUUUGCACACGUUCCCCAAAAGAUUUGAUCGCCUCCGGGUUUGUCCUCGCACUUCAGGGUGUUUGAAGACCAGAUGAUCAAAACAUGGUCUUUCAACGGGUCCCUCUGAAUCCCUGUCAGUGCCCAUCCAUUCCUACCGUUCGUCUACAUCUGCUAGCACCGCCUGUCCAGAGUCGCCGCGUUGUCCAACCAAGCCAGAGCCCAUAAUGACUUGUGGCUGUGCAGGUAAGCCUUGAGUCUUGAAGUCUCCGUCCGUCUCUUCGAGCCUAGGUGAAGCUUUCCGCAGGAUGACAUGGCCUCUCCAGCAUCCCGGGCAUCCACUGGGUUUUCCAGGGAGCCGAUCAACCGUCCUUCACGCAGAGUUGCAUUGCGUCCAAGGUCUUGAAAAUCUUGUCUUAGUCCGGUCUUGAUUAUUAUAUCAACCUUGCAUCACUCGUGGUAUACACUCAACCAAUAACCCGUCUACUCAAGCAUAGCAAAUAUAACAUUGUCGUCCCGGGGCCAAGUGUCGGGGUUGUUGUGUUCCUACCACAUGAUACUACAUCUUAUGCUAAAGUUUCCAAGUACCUAGGCAGCAUGCAAAUUGGGNNNNNNNNNNNNNNNNNNNNNNNNNNNNNNNNNNNNNNNNNNNNNNNNNNNNNNNNNNNNNNNNNNNNNNNNNNNNNNNNNNNNNNNNNNNNNNNNNNNNGACACAGUUCACGUAUAGGUCCCCACAAAUUUAUUGCCUAUGAAGUUCAAUUGAUCUACAAGUUAAUAACAGUUUUUAUUAUACCACGAGUGAAUACCUAUUGUUUAUAGGACCAACAUAUAAUUCAUGCAAAUUACCAAUUGCUAUUCAACUCUCUAAAGAAUAUAAGUUAAGCAAGAGAGUCCAAAUAUUUUCUAUAAAAGCAAGUUAUUUCGUCGUGCUCUAACAUUUAUAAUUGAUGUGCAAGAGCAAUUCUAAAAAUGCCUCAACUCAAAAGAUAUAAGUGAAAGAUCGAAGAACAUUCUACAAAUAUAAGACCAAUGUGUUUCUUUGUGAAGAUGUAUUACCAGAAUAUAUUGAUUGCAAAGAUCAGAAAACAUAAUCAAAAUGAUGCUCCAAGCAAAGCACAUAUCGUAUGAACAAAUUAAAACAUAGGCCCAACCAAGACAUAGUAAUAGUUAUCUUUGCUAUCAUUAUCACUAUAUUAUUUUAAUCUUGUAACUCACAAGAACAAGGGGAGUAACGCCCCCCUUGACUUUGUUCGGUGCAAGCAUUUGUUGUGUUUGUGUGCAGGUGUUGCUAACGUUGUUAGUGUGGUGUGUCAUACUAGUUCGAUAAACCUUGGUUCUUAACCGAGGAAAAUACUUUCUAUUAUUGUUCUACAUCAAUCUUCCUCUUUGAGGAGAUCCAAUACCUCCUUUGGGAGACGCGGUAGGAACCGGUUCUUGGCCUCACAAUCAACUUAUGUGGCGGCACAUCGACAUCCCGUAUCGAGGUCAGUCGACAAGGGGAUGCUAAGUGGAUCGAUGUCGGGAGCUCACACGUGGGCCACCACUGUCAUAUGCUACUCCGGAGGAUGUGUGGAUACAUAAUGGAGGGUUGUAGUACUUAACAGAGGGGUGGAGGUCGGGUAGUCAUUUCAACCGACGGGUGAGUACAAAUCGCGAGGAAAUCGCGGGGGUGAGUGCACUAGUAGAAAAUAGGGCUUCGUCCGGAGCAUUGUCCCGGUCUGGUUUUGGAUCAGGAUUAUGUGACCACUAAUCCAGGUUCCAAAGGCCAGGCUUUAGACCCGGUUCAUUUGUGACCUUUAGUCCCGGNNNNNNNNNNNNNNNNNNNNNNNNNNNNNNNNNNNNNNNNNNNNNNNNNNNNNNNNNNNNNNNNNNNNNNNNNNNNNNNNNNNNNNNNNNNNNNNNNNNNGCUUAUUAGAGGAAGGAAAAAUAGGUUUUUCUAGGCAUUUUUUCUAUGAAACUAUGUUUACAAAAAUAGAAAUUAAAAAUGUUCAAAGUUUCUGUGAUUUUAUGCAGAAUUGCAACAUUAUUUUUUUGAAAAGAAAAACAAAAGUUCUGAAAAUAGAAGGAGAUUUUCAGAAAAAGAAAAGUUCAUGAAUUUUAUAAAAAGCAUUAUAAAGUUCAUGAAUUUUUAAUUAUGACAGAAUAUUUUUCUGUAAUAGUAACAUGUUUUUUCUGCAAAGAAAAAUAAAAGGUUAUGAAAAUAAAAGAAAUAUUUUCAGAAAGAGAAAAGUUCAUGGAUUUUAUAAAAGGAAAAUAAUGUUCAUGAAUUUUUAUUUUUAACAGAAUAUUUUUCUGUAAAGGUGCAUGAAUUUAAUAUUCACGCUUUUCCGCUGCAAAGUAAAUGUUUAAUCCUCCAAUUAAAUUGAAACGAACGGGAAAAUUUAAUUGGAAGAACAGUUAUUAACAAAGUUUUUUCCUUGUGGGUGAAAUAAGAUUCAAACAGUUUCCGCUAUGACAAUAUAAUGAUGAUUGUUUUAAAGUUAAAUGUGGUAUUGUCAUUUUCUGACCAACGUUGAUGAUAACAAUACUAUAAUUGUAUGAGUCAUCCUAUGUUUAAAGCUUAAAUAUCUGGUAAAUUUUGUAUCAAAGUGAUCAAUUUUUCGGAGCACAGAUAAAGAAAUGCAUAUGGUUAAUGAUGAUGAUGAUUAUUUCUUAGCAAAGUUGUUCANNNNNNNNNNNNNNNNNNNNNNNNNNNNNNNNNNNNNNNNNNNNNNNNNNNNNNNNNNNNNNNNNNNNNNNNNNNNNNNNNNNNNNNNNNNNNNNNNNNNAUUGUGGAGAAGUUUUUAGGUUUAGUGACUGAUAAAUUCACGUACAUCAUCGGCACGCUCGAGCAACUUUACGACAUCGACGACAUGACCAUAACGGAGGCGAUUGGACGCUUGCGGACAUGGGAAGAGAAUGCUCGUGGCUGUCGGGAAGGCAAAGGAGGAGGUAGUGACCAACUCAAGUACUCGCGCGCAGAUUGGGAGGCCCCAAGUAGCAAAGGAAGGCGUGAUGGUGGCGAAGGCUCAAGAAACACGAAGGGCGAUGGACAAACCGGAAAAGGCAAACCACAAGGUCGUGGUAAGGCGGGCCAAUCUAAAGAGCAGAAGCCACGGAACUUGGACUUGUCCGAGGUCAAGUGCUAUAACUACAAUAAAGAUGGGUCACUUUGCGUUGUCCGAAGCCUAACAAACGGGAGAUCAAGGCAAAUUUGGCAAAGCAGGAAGACGAAGGUCCAGGUCUUCUGAUGGCCGAAUUUUGUGAUCUCGCUGAAACGGUGGUUGUGAAACCAAGCCGAAAGGUGCUACUUCAUGAGAAGAAAGUGACACCGAAGUUAUCUGGUGAUCAGAACGUGUCAUGGUAUCACGACAUGGGUGCCAGUAACCACAUGACGGGGUGCAAGGAGAAAUUCAUCGAGUUGGAAUACGAUGUUCAAGGCUCGGUCAAGUUCGGUGAUGGUUCAGCUGUGGAGAUUUGCGGGCAAGGAUCUGUCCUAUUCGAGGGUCUCACAGGCGAACAUCGCAUACNNNNNNNNNNNNNNNNNNNNNNNNNNNNNNNNNNNNNNNNNNNNNNNNNNNNNNNNNNNNNNNNNNNNNNNNNNNNNNNNNNNNNNNNNNNNNNNNNNNNGACAUAAUACAAUGUCAACUUUACCCGGUUACGCACACAUUCUGCCCAGACUUUUCCCGCCAUGCGGGUAAUUCCCUUUAAGGGACAUAAAUGCCAUAAUUGGCUCUUUUGACUGCAUCAAAUUCAGAAAUAAAUCUGAAUUAUCUUUGACACACACGUUUGAUCCGACGUUGGUCAAAUUCAACAUGCAUGUUGCUUGUUUCAUUUCAAUCAUGUUGACUAAAAAAAGGAGACUUCAUCAUAGAGAGUACAUGAAAGACAUUCGUCAAUCAAGACUCUCAAUGAUUUAUCUCUUUUCUUUUCUUGAAUUAAUAUCCAAGAGUUCUUUUCUUGUGAAGCCAUUCUUUAGAGAGAAUUUAUUCCCUCAAGUUAUGACCUUUAUUUUCCAUAUUUCGGGUCACUAGUACCCAAAACAUUCGCUUUCAUGAGUGAAGGCUUGAAUAACUUUUAGUCUGAGAAAACUUAGCCAAUAAACAGUGGUAAUGAGCAUAAAAACAACCCUACGUUGGUCAUAUUAAAAUCAUGCACAUUAAACCUUUUAAAACUUUCUGGAAUAUUCUAAAUCACCGUGGUGGCAGAAUUAGAAUAAAACAUCAUCCUUCUACAUUAAUUCCAUAUCACCGUUGGACAGAAAUGGAAAUAAUGCAUAUAACUCAUAAACAAUGUGAUGAUAGUAUUCUUAUUGAACAACUUUGCUAAGNNNNNNNNNNNNNNNNNNNNNNNNNNNNNNNNNNNNNNNNNNNNNNNNNNNNNNNNNNNNNNNNNNNNNNNNNNNNNNNNNNNNNNNNNNNNNNNNNNNNGCAUGCAAGCUUUACCUUCUGGCCCUGAUGCACGCUGGCAUGGCCGUGAGAUUCCAGCUGGCUUUGCUAAAGUCGGGGUGGAUGAAAUCAUGACGGGGUUUAAUGAUAUGGAGCUCGACAUAGCUGGACCCGAAGAUGAGAGGACACUCGGAGAAGUACUGGGUGGAGUCAUCCUAUGGGACAAGAACUACAUCAAGCUUCCAGGCUCGGCCCCAAUGACAACACCGCCUCCGAGUCGUCGCAGGUCACCUACACCUCCAUUACCUCCAAGCCCUCCACAUGACGUCAGCCAGCACAACACGAGUCCAUCUCGAUCACCGCCGCCGGACUUGGGUCGUCCGUCUCCGCCGCCGCCCGCACAUGAUACUAAGCGGAAGCGUGCCAGCAAGAACGCUCCGUCGAUGAUUUCUAAGCGACGGAGCUCCCCAAAGCGCAAACUGUCGCCCCUCCCAAAGGUACCUCAUGCUAAUCUUCCUACCAGACCUUAUGAUCGUACCCCCGAGGAAAACACCAGGAUAGCAAAGGAACAGCAUGAUACACGGAUGAAAAAGAAGGAACCCGAGCCCCGCCCGGAAUACACCGAGAAGCAAAUAGCAUGGGCAAAAGACUUCACAACCCUUCCAUCACAGUAUGACUUACACUAUAAGCCUGAUGACUAUACACGCACAUUGCAGAAGGAAGUGAAGAAGAGCAGCUCACGUGCAAGUGCAAGUGGGAGCAAAUCAAGUUCAACUACAAGCAAGAAAAAAUCAGACGUUCCUCAGCUUGGACAACAGGCCAAACAGUCGAUCCCACCCCUCAAGGUGUUAAACGAGAAUGUUCCCCCUCCGGUGCAGGGGCAAGAUUUUGAAAGAGCAAAGGAGUUGGCGGCUGAAUGUGGUAUCUCGGUUGAAGAUUUGCUGGCUUCCCAAGACGACAGGAUACCCAAGGCUGUGGUAGCCCCUAAGCCACAGUUUGUCAUGGGAGAGCCUUUGGUCAGCAAAGAUGAUCUCCCAACAAAUAUGCGUUACUUGCAUAAAUGAUACUUAAGAGAAUCAAAGAAUGGGAGAACGAUGAUCAUGCUGAGUGUCCCACGGGAGUACUACGGCUGCUCCGAAGAAAUCCAUAUCGACUUUGAUGAACUCUUCCAUAUGUACAAUGGCGACGCCCUCGACAAAUCGCUUAUGAGUUGCUAUUGUCUGUAAGUUUUUCAAUUCGUUGUCUACAUAUAACUUGUUUAGUUAUUUCAAUUCAUUGUCUAUAUAUAACUUGUACUCUAUUAUGCAGAAUGAAGAUUCUGGAUUGUAAAAGUAAGAGCAUCCUAAAUAUUGGGUUUAUUGACCCAGAUAAAAUACAUAUAGCGACGCUAACUGAUAAACCCAAGGAGACGGAGGAAAACCUUCUAAGGUUUCUAAUAGAUCAAAAUUUAUGUGACCACAUACUGUUUCCAUACAACUUCAGGUGAGGGUCUUUACUCUGUUGUAUCCAUUCACUUAUAAGUGUAAUUGAUAAGUUACUGACACACACACACACACACAUAUAUAUAUAUAUAUACAUGUGCAGCUUCCAUUGGAUUCUGUUGGACAUUCAAAUUGAUAAGGGAAGAGUUGAUACCUUCGACCCAUUAUCGAGACCCUUGGAACAGUUCCAAAGCCUGCAGGACAUGCUCCAAGGAUAAUUUUAAUCAUUCUUGUGCUCUAUCGGUCUCUUUCGAUGAUUUUCUGAUAUAUCAAUUAAUGAAAAACUUAGCAAAUCAUUAUCCUUGUCGGGCAGGGUUUGGAAGCGGUUCAAGUGCGUGACUCCCGGUAACUUUCCUGAGAAGCUGACCUUUAGAGCGGCUCAGGUAAAUAGUAGUAUGAUAUACUUCUAUUAAUUUUAAAUACAUUUAUGAUGCUAGAUUAUUAUUUUGAUUAUAUAUAUUCUAUUCUCAUAAAGUGCGACCAGCAGCCACGGGGAAUGCAUCUAUGCGGAUACUAUGUUUGCGAGACCAUUCGCACGUUUACCUCUGAGCUCAAGGAUCACAGAUUCGACGUAAGCAAUGAACAUUCACACCUCUAUUUUUACCCGUCAUUCUUUGUUAUCAUGAUUGAUAUUCAUAUUCAUAUCCUCUUCUUAUAUAGCACACGGUCAUGAGGACGAAGGUCCUACCAGAGCAACGCGCGAUUGCUGUUGCAGAGGAGCUUGCGGGAUUUCUGAGGACGGAAGUUAUAGAGCUCAAAGGACGAUUUAGUGUAGCUAAGGGCCAUUACUGAUGUUCGUCCAUGUAAUCGAAUAGACGGGCUCUAGUCCCGAUAAUUCAGAUCUCCAUAUAAUUGUAUAUAUAUGCUCGCUUGUAAGAUAAGUUAAUCUUAUAUAUAUAUAUAUAUAUAUAUAUAUAUAUAUAUAUAUAUAUAUAUAUAUGCAUAAUUAUUUUUAUUUAAAUUAUAUGAAAACUAAUUCCCGAACACCAAACCAGGCAUCACGUUAAUCUCCCGAACACCUAAACCCUAAAACCCUAAAACCCAAAAAUAAUUUCAUUCAAAAAAAACCCAAAACCCAGCAAAAUCUGAAAAUCUUUAGUCCCGGUCCGUGUAACGAACCGGGACUAAAGGGCUUGCCCCUGGGGCGCUACGAGGCGCCCACGUGGAGCACCUUUAGUCCCGGCUUGUAAGAUGGCCGGGACGAAAGGUUAGGCCUUUAGUCCCGCCCCUUUAGUCCCGGUUGGUGAACCGGGACUAAAGCCCCUUACGGGCCGGGGCUAAAGGCCCCGUCCCCACUAGUGUUAAUGAACAACUUAACGAGUUUCAUGAGUAACACGUUAAGCUUGUUAGUGAAACACAACAUACAUUCUUAUCUUAUUGUUAGUACAACACAACGGAUAUUCUUAUCUUAUGUGACAAUAUUUUCUGGUACCUCAACCCAUCCUAAGUUCCUAACCCAUAGGAUGCAACAAAUCAAUGUACCUCCUCAUGUAGUCACAAUCUUCCUUUGAAAAAAUUCACCCGCACUCUCAUGUUGCAGACCAUAACAUAUCAUACUAUGUUAGUGAUCAUAUUACGAGCUUAAUGAGCAUUAAAUGAACAAAACCACAUUAGCUUGUUAAGCUUAACGAGCUUAAUAAGCCGAGCCUUAACGAGCACAAGCCGAGCAGCACAUUAAUCCACUACUAACCCCGAUUGGAGUUAUUUCUUUCUUACACAAUGGCCAUCAGAAAGAAACAACAAAAUUUGUAAAAUAAAAAUCAAAGGGAUGUCGUGGGGUUCCGAAGAGUGACUCGGUUCGAGCCCACGCAUAUUAGUUGCUAGCCAAUUGAUCACAUCACCUUUUCUAUCAUCUCUUGAUUCAUAUGCUUUAUAUACAUUAUAAUGAACAACAUAAACUAGAGAAAUUUAAUUUUAAAAAAAAUAGUAUCGGGGCCUGUCAUUCGAACAUCCCACAAACGGUAAUAAAGGAGCCACAUAUACCACACCAAUCAACAAGGUCUCAUGUUUUUAAACUGUAAUUAGACUUUAUGACUGUAUAACAAACUUAAUUUAAAAGGUUUUUAUAAUGUUCAUGGCAUUUUAAAAUUAAUCCACCUCUCAUUCUAAAAUAUUUUAAAACAUACUCAUAUAUUUUUAAAAUAUUUAUGAAUAAAACGGUGAACUUAUUUCAUAAACUCAUGUGCAUUCAUCUAAAAGAUGUAUAUUUAUGAAUUCACACGUUUAAUUAUAUUAAUUUUAUGAAAUUUAUUCAUAAAAUUAGGAAAACAAACAAAAAAUUUAUAUACUUCUUCCGUUCCUUUAUAUAAGGUGUAUAUAUUAAAGCAUACUUUUUUUUUAAAUAGCAUAAAGUUUUUUAAAUUAUGAACACUUUAUAUACUACAUGAAUAUUUUAUUAAAAAACUUGGAAAUAUUUAAACCUAUAUAAGUAUUUAUUUAAAUACACAAACCUUUCUAAUUACUUUAAUAUAUUAGUAAAUAUGCUAACACUUUUUAAAUUAUAAAUUUAUUUUCAUAUUUCAUGAUUGAAUUAUGUAUAUUUUUGUUAAAUUGUUGUGUCAAUAUUUUAUGAAAGUAUACGAACUUUAUUAAUGUAACUUAUUUUAAUUAUAUGCAUAUUAUUUAUUGUACACAAUUAUAAUUUACAAAAAAUUAAAAGAAAAAAAAAUCAACAUGUUGAAAGUGGUCACGCGAGAGCUUUUUGUUAUAAUAAGAAAUGUAUCCCAUUAAACAUGAGACUUUGUUAGUUGGUGCGGUAGUUGUGGCUGCUCCAAACCCUCAGGCAUCACAGUAACAAGUGACACUAAAGAAAAUCAAUAAAAAUGCUCCUAUUGAAAAAAGAUUUCAGAGGCCUCUUUACACACAAGGUUGAUUUCUUUUGUUUUUGACCAGUUUCACUAAUCUAUUCUUCUAUCAUGAAUUGUGGGAACUCCCUACUCUUUUCAUGUUAAAAAAAUAAAAAGAAAUAGGUGGCAGUGCAGUGAAUGAAAGAAUAAAAUGCUUCUAUUUCAAAAUAAAAAAGAUUUUUAAAGACUUAUUACGUGCAAAGUUAAUUCCCGACACACGAGAAGAUACCAUUCCAAUGUCUGCUUCGCUUGGAAAGCCUGAAAGUGCUCAUAUCAUCCGGAUGAGCGAGCCCGCACGCAAACAAGAUGCCAUGGAUCAUUCUUGUUGUGUGCAGCCCACACUGCAAAUAUAUGAACUUGCUUUGGUUUAUAAUAAUGCAUGCAUAUUGCAUGUACGCGCGGAUGCUAUCCUAGCCGAGAGUCCAGCUAUAAAUACAUAGACGUUUUACACGGUAAACUACCAUUGUCUGUAGUUCAGCUUGCACGGAACAACGCUUAUAGGGCUUAUGGGGUGAUGGAAGAUUCACCUUCACUUUUAUUUGGGCAUCUAUGAGAUUUUGGAGGAAACCAAAUGCAGCUUAAGGUGUAAUACAUGUUGUUCCCAUCCAUACACCCUGCAACUCGCAUUUGCGGUAGUGACCAUCAUUGAUGGGUUAAAUUUCACGCGUGCCAAAAAUUACAAAGAACAACAUUUGAGUACAAUCAUGGUGGAUUACCCAACCGCGGCAUACACAAAGGCAUGGCCGGGAUCCUCGUCUACAAGUCCCUCGUUGACAUACUCGUUGAGGAAUUCGCCAACCUUAAAAGCGGGAUCUCUAAUGUCCGUAUCAGGAGUUGGAGAUAGAAUAUUGAUGGAGAUUUUUAUAAGAAGGUAAAAUUUGAGAAAGUCACACACCAGCGUAGCUAAUAAUUAGGCAAUGGAGAGGUUUUAUAAUCGAUAUUGAUGCGAGGAGUACGGGAUGCAAUGUCACUAGAGCUAUAAGUGUAUGAGAUCUCUCCAAAUGCAACGUGGGUGUACAUUCAAAUUGCUUGCUCAUAUCCACGAGCAUUUGAGGAAGCUCAUCAUGGAAUAUGCAAGUCAAGUUCUUAUAAUGUAAAACUCCCACUAGUAUGUAAAAUGAGGAAUAUGAAAACGCUCUACAUGAAUACAUGGUGCUACUCUCAAGCACAAGUGUGUAUGAAGGAUAGUAGUGUGCCCCCUCUCUCUUUCUCUUUUCUGGGUGGGAUCUUUUGGCCUCUUUUUAUUGGGCUCAUUGGUCUUCUUUUUUUUCUUACAGAUAGAGCCACACUCUAAUUGACAUCACACUUUUAUUUACUUAUGAUUCAUAAAUGAAAAUGAUGACUACAAAUGAAUGUCUCGGACAGUCUACCAGGAUGUGAAAUGAUAUAGCAUAACAUGUAAAAUAAUAAUGAACAGUGUCCUUGCCACAACUAUCAUGUCAGCUCUAUAUAUGAUCAUGCAAAGAGAAUGGCAAUAAAAAUAAUUAUUGUAAUGUAACAAUGGAAGUUCCAUGACAAUGUAUCUUAAAAUGUUUAUGAAAAUACCAUAAUAGAUAGGUAUGAUGAUUGUUUUGAGGAGAAAAGUGUUUUAUUUGCAG
RNAcentral lists this long non-coding RNA (36938 nucleotides) under Hordeum vulgare. RNAcentral's name for it is "long non-coding RNA (HVUL_LNC014946)". The record is from RNAcentral. Lineage: Eukaryota; Viridiplantae; Streptophyta; Magnoliopsida; Poales; Poaceae.